RNAcentral lists this long non-coding RNA (975 nucleotides) under Bos taurus (domestic cattle). RNAcentral's name for it is "long non-coding RNA NONBTAT017432". Lineage: Eukaryota; Metazoa; Chordata; Mammalia; Artiodactyla; Bovidae. The record is from RNAcentral.
GUGGCUUGUGCCCUCCGACUGAGGUUUGUGCAGGGCCCAGGAAAGGUUAGGGCGUGGCCUGGUGCCCAGUCAGCUCAGCUGUCCCCUCCUGGUCCAGCUCCCCCGCUCCGCGGGGUCAGAGGCAGGGAGGAGUGCCUGCAGGGAGCUGUGUCUCUUCCCCACUGGUGGGGUCAGCUGGGCGCUGAGGCCUUGUCUGUGGCUGUUCCCUGCUCUGUGACCUGUCUUGAGGGCCAGUUAACCCAGUGCCCUCCCUAGACCUGACUGCAGUAACUUUUACAUUCGAAACCUUCAACUGCGUCCCAUCCCUAGGACAGAAGCACAAUGGUUCUCAGCCUGCCCCGGGGCUAAGGCCCCCAGCUGUGGCCACCCCACCCUGCCCUGCCCACAGCCCUCUGAGGGAGCUCCGGAAGCUGGAAGCAGAGCACGGGGCAGGAGGGAAGUCGGUGUGUCCUUCCCCUCUCCGUCCGUCCGUCCGUCCGUCCGUCCUGCGCACGGCGAGCGUCAGAGGCUGCGCACAGGAGCACCAAGCUGCCGCCUUCUGAAACCCACUGACCUCUUCGGGGGACCAGUGGGCCGUCUGCCGUGGGGCUGGCGUGUGAUAUUUGGUGGUGUGUGUUCUUAUGUGUUUGUUGGUUACACGUGUCUUGAAAUGUAGAAUCAUUUUCCACGGAAUCAUUGCUUUAUCAAGAAGAGAAAAUGGGCUGGAAGAAGCCUGGUCUUAGGUUUCUGGCCCUGUUACCAUUUAAAAUUGACAUUUAAUUUUUCAAAUCGCUGUUGGUGCCUAAUCACUUAAGUUAUUAAUUUAUUGUUUUCUUUAAAAAAAAAUGUAACAUGUAUUUAUCCUGUAAGUAGGUCUGGGGUGGGAUGGGAAUGCGUUCACAGGCGUCCUGUUUUUGCGGUGGUGGCACAGGCCUGGAGCUUGCAGGGCCCUUGUUACUGGAGGCGGAGCUAGAUGACAAUAAAGUCCAUGAGAAG